Xenopus laevis (African clawed frog) is the source of this 77-nucleotide non-coding RNA. The record is from Rfam. Lineage: Eukaryota; Metazoa; Chordata; Amphibia; Anura; Pipidae.
CAUUUAUCAGUGAUGCUUGAUAUAAAUGUCUGAACAUAUGACACUUAGUGAUUUCAGUUUUGUAACUGAGAUAAAUG